This is a long non-coding RNA of Cercocebus atys (sooty mangabey), 716 nucleotides long. RefSeq lists it as uncharacterized. The transcript has 3 exons. NCBI's taxonomy places the organism in Eukaryota, Metazoa, Chordata, Mammalia, Primates, Cercopithecidae. The record is from RefSeq and is a predicted model, not a curated record.
ACCGCGCGGAGGCCCAGCCCGUGGCAGUCCACGCUGGCGGCGGAGCAGAUAAAGAAGCUGAAGUAGAAACAGAUGAAGUAACUUACUCAAGGAACACAGCUAAUAAGCUCUAGAGGACAGUUACCCUGGUGCCAUUUGCCAUCUGGUCAAUCUGGUUUCCAACUGAAUUUGACUUGCCUAGCCACCGUGAACUUCUUACUGGUUUCCAGCCAUGUCAGGACCUAAAUGAAGGGUGCUUCAUCCUUUAUCCUGUAUAUGCACAUCAUGCUCUUCACAGAUGGUCUUUCCACCUUUUUACAGCAAAGUACUGCCAUCAACAACAGGGAAUUUGGGAUUCUGGGUUCAAAUUCCAGCUCUACAAUUUACUGGUUAUGUGACUUUGGGAAGGUCAUUGAAACUCUCUGAGCCUCAGCUUCUGUGUUUAUAAAAUAAAGCAAGGAUGAAAAGAGACAACAGAUAUGCAGCUACCUCUGUGCCCAGCAAGAGUUGUCAUUUGCCUGGCGAACUCCAACACCAUGCUUCAACAUGGAGUUCUGGGGAAACAAGCCCUGAGAAUCGCCAGUGACCGGGGGCUCACUUCUUCCCAUGCAAGUGUCUGCGUGGUUGAUAGAAAGUUGCCAUCGCAUUGCAGCAAAACUGACUUCCACCAGCAGAUGCCAAGAAGUGAGCACGCCCCACUUCUGUCACACUGUUUAGGGGAGAUAGACCAUCUGCUG